Molecule: ribosomal RNA, 450 nt
Filed under: Stutzerimonas stutzeri
Lineage: Bacteria; Pseudomonadati; Pseudomonadota; Gammaproteobacteria; Pseudomonadales; Pseudomonadaceae
Description: bacterial SSU rRNA
Rfam family: Bacterial small subunit ribosomal RNA
Source: RNAcentral
GAACUGAAGAGUUUGAUCAUGGCUCAGAUUGAACGCUGGCGGCAGGCCUGACACAUGCAAGUCGAGCGGAUGAGUGGAGCUUGCUCCAUGAUUCAGCGGCGGACGGGUGAGUAAUGCCUAGGAAUCUGCCUGGUAGUGGGGGACAACGUUUCGAAAGGAACGCUAAUACCGCAUACGUCCUACGGGAGAAAGUGGGGGAUCUUCGGACCUCACGCUAUCAGAUGAGCCUAGGUCGGAUUAGCUAGUUGGUGAGGUAAAGGCUCACCAAGGCGACGAUCCGUAACUGGUCUGAGAGGAUGAUCAGUCACACUGGAACUGAGACACGGUCCAGACUCCUACGGGAGGCAGCAGUGGGGAAUAUUGGACAAUGGGCGAAAGCCUGAUCCAGCCAUGCCGCGUGUGUGAAGAAGGUCUUCGGAUUGUAAAGCACUUUAAGUUGGGAGGAAGGGC